RNAcentral lists this ribosomal RNA (305 nucleotides) under uncultured bacterium. RNAcentral describes it as "bacterial SSU rRNA". It matches the Rfam family "Bacterial small subunit ribosomal RNA", at positions 337 to 659 of the family's 1533-position model. The record is from RNAcentral.
UCCUACGGGAGGCAGCAGUAGGGAAUAUUGCUCGUUUGUGGAGACCCUGACGCAGCAACGCCGCGUGGAGGAUGAAGGUUUUCGGAUUGUAAACUCCUUUUGUUAGAGAAGAUAAUGACGGUAUCUAACGAAUAAGCACCGGCUAACUCCGUGCCAGCAGCCGCGGUAAUACGGAGGGUGCAAGCGUUACUCGGAAUCACUGGGCGUAAAGAGCGCGUAGGCGGGAUAGCAAGUCAGAUGUGAAAUCCUAUGGCUUAACCAUAGAACUGCAUUUGAAACUGUUAUUCUAGAGUAUGUGAGAGGUA